This 314-nucleotide ribosomal RNA is filed under the name Limosilactobacillus reuteri. Its description in RNAcentral is "partial 23S ribosomal RNA". It matches the Rfam family "Bacterial large subunit ribosomal RNA", at positions 280 to 592 of the family's 2925-position model. The record is from RNAcentral. Lineage: Bacteria; Bacillati; Bacillota; Bacilli; Lactobacillales; Lactobacillaceae.
AAGCUUGCUUGUUGGGGUUGUAGGACUGAACAUUAGAGUUACCAAAGUGCGACGUAGUCGCAACAGUUGGGAAGCUGUGCCAUAGAGGGUGAGAGCCCCGUAGACGAAACGUCACACUCUCUGUUCAGGAUCCUGAGUACGGCGGGACACGUGAAACCCCGUCGGAACCCGCGAGGACCAUCUCGCAAGGCUAAAUACUCCCUAGUGACCGAUAGUGAACCAGUACCGUGAGGGAAAGGUGAAAAGCACCCCGGAAGGGGAGUGAAAUAGUUCCUGAAACCAUGUGCCUACAAGCUGUCGGAGCCCGUUAAUGG